Molecule: long non-coding RNA, 1688 nt
Filed under: Homo sapiens (human)
Lineage: Eukaryota; Metazoa; Chordata; Mammalia; Primates; Hominidae
Description: HSALNT0208685
Source: RNAcentral
GUGAAGUAUUUUGCUCAAGGUCGUUCAUCAAAUUAGUAGUUUAAUUAACUCAGUGUUCUAGGAAGCAGGGUAGUAGAAAAGCAUGGGAUUCGGAGUCUGAAAUCUUCCUUGGUUUCUGGUCCUUGUAGGCUGUUUUACAAGUGUAUCUUGGGCAAAUCCCUUAACGUCUUGCCAUUUAUUAAGGGCUUACUUACCACGUGGCAAACAAUCCACUUUGCAUGCUGUGUCAAUUACAUGCAGUAUGUCGUGUAGUUAUUACUGUCCCCAUUUUAUGAGGUAGUUUAGGUUUAAAGAUAUUAGAAAUUUACCCAAAGUUACGCAGUUAUAAACAUUGUAGUAAUUUCAAACUCAGGUCUUCGUGACUGCAAAGGCUGCUGUCUUAAGUAUUGUAAUACAUUAGAGCUCCGGAUUCCCUCCCACUCAAAACAGAGACUGAGACUCCAACCAAUUUCCACCAUUAUUGGGAGUCAAACGAGAGAGACUGUGGCAAUGUAUUCUAAGCUGUACAAAGGUAUAAACAUAUUCACUAGAUUUGUAGAAUGAAGUUAUUCCUUCCCUAUACUUUCCACUACAACAAUUCAGCCAAAAAGAUGGCUUUCAUACUAAGCAUAAGAAGGAACUUCACUGUAAUUAUGAUAUUCUAACCAAGAAUAUAUGCAUAUCUAGGCAAUAACCAAAGUGAAUAGAAUAAAAUUUAAUUCCUGAUAGAUUAAAUAGGCAAUAGCAAGGAAUGCUAACGCUCCUCAUAGCGUUCUUGUUGGAAGAAUCAUCUAGGAGGCAUUGGGAUUUCUGGUGCUUUUUAAGCAAUGAGAGAUAUCAGUCCACUGAAUGAGGAAGAGAAUAACGUUUAGUUUCGGACUAAAAGUUCAUCUGGACUACGGAAAACACGUUUGCCUCAAUCAGUGAAGAAGGUAUGCUGAGAGCUGAAAGAAAAGGAAAGCAGUUCUGAAAUAACCCAUCUUGAAGACAUAAACAAUGUGCAUUGAUGGCUAGCCAGACUCUGUCCUGCCACAGUUCUCCUCCUACUCUUCAUUUCUUACCCCAAGGAGUAGUAAACAUGAAUCCUGACCCACCAAUGCAGUCCCAGAACUGAGAAAAGAUUCACUGCAGCUAAACAGUAGGUAGAAAUAAAAACAAUGACUCAAUUCAAUAAUAUUAAGUGUGUUGGGAAGACAGUCUCCAAGAGAAACGAUAAAUAACCUACAUAAUGAAGAAUUAGUUAGCAGUGUUAUGUAAAUAUUGUAGCAGCAUCAAUGAGGAGGAUUAUUUUUGCACCUUUGGAAAGCAACUGAAAAAGGAAGCCUGGAAAAAAUCCUGCCUAACAAAGCAGCAGUACUCAAAUAGCUUUAACUAUAAGAAAGAACUGAUUCAAGAUAUGAGAAGAGAUUUAAGAUAUAAGAUUAAAUAUAAGUGUAAAUGAUAUCCUCAUUUUUAUUGAAAUGCUGUGUAUUCCUAUUAUUUCAGUGAAAUGUUAAAUGGCAAAGGAUGCAUUUUUUAGAUUAUUUUUUUCACUGAAUUUUAAACAGUCUUUGAAGCAGAUAUUUCAUAUAACAAUAUCCAGAAACAAUAACACAUAUGUGGAUAAAGUUGAGUGGUUGGAUAAUGUAUUGUGCAAAUUAUCAAGAAGAAAACCAUCUUAAAGAAAUAUUUUAGCUUAACAGCAUCAAUAAAUGGGACACCUAGUUCAC